This is a long non-coding RNA of Cephus cinctus (wheat stem sawfly), 500 nucleotides long. RefSeq lists it as uncharacterized. The transcript is spliced from 2 exons. Lineage: Eukaryota; Metazoa; Arthropoda; Insecta; Hymenoptera; Cephidae. The record is from RefSeq and is a predicted model, not a curated record.
AUAACUCAACAAGAGAGAACAUCGGGCGAUUGCUCAAUCUCAUUGUCAUUGACCAACGGAUUCCAUGUCGUAAAUUAACCAAGAGGGCCGAUAGAAAAUAAAUUUGGAAAAAAGUUGACCCACUGGAAAAAAAAUGACUACGUUCCUCCAACACUUAUUCAGUUUCAUUGUCGUCAAUCGAAUCAAAGCGAAGCGCGAGUUUGCACAGUAAAGGUUCUUGCACAACUGUCAAAUGAACGUGUCAGCUGGAUAAAGCUGCGCGCGAAAAAAGAUUGUUGGAUCAAUGAAGAAGAAACGCUGCUGCUGCUUCUUAGUCACGAACGUCACUGGGUCAAUGGCAAACUGUAUAUAGUAUCAGCAUACAGUAGCUGUAUGUACUAUAGCCUAGUUUUCCAUAUAAAUAACGUGAAGACGCCAAGCGAAUAAAUCGUUACUCAAUAUAAAACCGACUGCGCUAUACGUGAAUCAAUAUAAAGUCUAUUAAAAUUGUCAAAAGUAAA